This 234-nucleotide ribosomal RNA is filed under the name uncultured bacterium. Its description in RNAcentral is "partial 16S ribosomal RNA". It matches the Rfam family "Bacterial small subunit ribosomal RNA", at positions 103 to 334 of the family's 1533-position model. The record is from RNAcentral.
CGGGUAGAGUAACGCGUGAAUAACCUGACUCAAAGAGGGGGGAGUAACAACGGGAAACUGUUGCUAAUACCGCAUGAGACCACAACACCGCAUGAUGAAGGGAUCAAAGAUUUAUCGCUUUGAGAGGGGUUCGCGUCCCAUUAGGUAGUUGGAGGGGUAACGGCCCACCAAGCCAACGAUGGGUAGCCGAGCUGAGAGGCUGAUCGGCCACACUGGAACUGAGACACGGUCCAG